Molecule: transfer RNA, 74 nt
Filed under: Perkinsus olseni
Lineage: Eukaryota; Perkinsozoa; Perkinsida; Perkinsidae
Description: tRNA-Val
Rfam family: tRNA
About the family: Transfer RNA (tRNA) molecules are approximately 80 nucleotides in length.
Source: RNAcentral
GCCGGAAUGGUCUAGUUGGUUAUGACGACUGCCUCACACGCAGUAGGUCCCGAGUUCGACUCUCGGUUUCAGUA